GGGAGUGGCAAACGGCUGAGUAACGCGUAGGAACCUACCCCAAACUCGAGUAUAGCCCCGCGAGAGCGGGGGUAAUCCUCGAUAGCCCGUGAAGUAUUUUACUUCACGGUAAAGCUUUUGCGGUUUGGGAUGGGCCUGCGUCCUAUCAGGUAGUUGGUGAGGUAAAUGCUCACCAAGCCUAUGACGGGUAGCUGGUCUGAGAGGAUGGUCAGCCAGACUGGGACUGCGACACGGCCCAGACUCCUACGGGAGGCAGCAACUAGGAAUUGUGCGCAAUGGACGAAAGUCUGACGCCGCGACAUCGCGUGGAGGAUGAAGGUCUUCGGAUUGUAAACUCCUUUUCUUACCGAACAAGUUCUGAGUGUAGGUAAGGAAUAAGUGCCUGCUAACCACGUGCCAGAAGCAUCGGUAAUACGUGGGGCACGAGCGUUAUCCGGAUUUACUGGGCGUAAAGAGAAGCGUAGGCGGCUCAAUAAGUUUGGUGUUAAAUCUUCCGGCUCAACCGGAAACAAGCACCGAAAACUAUCGAGAUUGAGUCGAGUAGGGAAGAGGGGAAUUCCUGGUGGAGCGGUUAAAUGCGUGGAUAUCAGGAGGAAUACCAAGGGCGAAGGCACCUCUUUGGACUCGUACUGACGCUGAGGCUCGAAAGCGUGGGUAGCAAAACGGAUUAGAUACCCGUGUAGUCCACGCCGUAAACGAUCCCUGUUAGAUGUAUGUUUUGUCUGUUUAUUUUUCCUUCGGGAAGGGUAAAGGGCAAGAUGUGUGUCGUAGUUAACGCGUUAAACAGGGCGCCUGGGAAGUACGGCCGCAAGGCUAAAACCCAAAGGGAUUGACGGGGACCCGCACAAGCAGUGGAGCGCCUGGUUUAAUUCGAUGGUCAGCGAAGAACCUCACCUAGGCUUGAACUGUAGCUGCACGCUCCCAGAAACGGGAGAAUCCUUCGAGGGUGCUACAGAGGUGCUGCAUGGCUGUCGUCAGCUCGUGUCGUGAGAUGUAGGGUUAAGUCCCACAACGAGCGCAACCCCUAUUCAGUGUUAUAAUUACUCUGAAGACUGCCCUGUCCAAACGGGGAGGAAGGAGGGGACGACGUCCAGUCAUCAUGUCCCUUAUGUCUAGGGCUACACAGACGCUACAAUGGCCGGUACAAUGGGUUGCCAAA
Molecule: ribosomal RNA, 1159 nt
Filed under: uncultured organism
Description: bacterial SSU rRNA
Rfam family: Bacterial small subunit ribosomal RNA
Source: RNAcentral